CUGGCUAAUCUGGAGUUUAUAGAAAUGCUUUUAAGAUUUGAGCCUGAGGAAGAGGUAAUUCUGUUUAUUCUUUCUGCAGAUGAUGAAUUAACUGCCAUGAUUUUUGAGGCCUUCAAUGGAGAUACGGAUCCUUCCAUAGUUCCUGAAGUAUUCAGUCUGAAAGGUUGUGAUAUGGACCUGGAGUGCAGUUUCAUUUCUUGCAGCCUCAGAGCUCCAGUUGUAGAACACGGCUGUCUCCGACUCUUUAAGGCAUGAAGCUUAUCUCCCUGUGUCAGGCCAUCCAUAGUUUCCACACCUUCCUUGUCUUCAAAAUCAUACUCCUCAUAUUGAUCCAAGUCUUGCACUUUAAGCAAGCUGUCAUUGAUUGACAUAUCAUUCAAACCGCAGAGAACUCUGUUAAUGUUUCCAUCAACUACUUGUUGCUUCUGUUUUGAUUGUAUGAGAUCUCCCUCCAGCCAUAACAUUGCUUGUUUCUCUUCCAAGAAGUGUUGCUGAGGUCCUAUAAUAGAGCCUGGUCGACAUACUCUUAUCCAAGCAAUGGCUUCAGUGUGUGUGAACCUGUAGUGUUUCAUUAUGUAACAGGCGAUCAGUGUUCCCGUUCUCCCCAGGCCAGCUAAAGAAAC
This 623-nucleotide long non-coding RNA is filed under the name Gallus gallus (chicken). Lineage: Eukaryota; Metazoa; Chordata; Aves; Galliformes; Phasianidae. The record is from RNAcentral.